AUGCAUGGCGCCGUCUGCGUGUACGCGCACGCGUUGGAGGCCGGGAUGCGCCUCCCGCUGCACCCGUUCUUCCUGGACGUUCUCAACCACUUUAACCUCGCGCCGACGCAGCUCGCGCCCAACGCUUGGCGCAUCAUGGCGGGCUUCCUUGUGCUCUGCCACUUGGCCCGCGUGCCGCCGCCCCUCGCCGUGUUCCGGCGUUUCUUCCUGCUCCACCACAAGCACAAGAUAGCCUGGUACUUCUUCAAAUCCAGGCGCGGCUCCGGCUUGCGCAUCACGGGGUUGCCGGAUUCCAUCAAGGGUUGGAAGAGCGGGGUUUUCUUCCUUUAUUCGGCGAACCCGUGGCCUUGUCCGGUGGAGUGGGGCAAGCCGUCCAAGAGCUCUCUGGUGGACCCUGUGCUCUCCGCCGAAGAUAGGGAAACGGAGGCGAAGUUGCUGAGCGCUUACGGAGCCUCCCCUGUUGAUCUUAGAAAGUAUCUUUGCCGCAGCAAUCUUGCCGCCGCCAUGAUAUCUCCCUUGUCGGCGCCGAAGUCUUCAUCACCGGAGCCCCCGGUAUUGCAGCCGUCGCCACCACAGCCCCCGGCGCCGUCAUCACCGGAGCCCCCGGCACCGAAGCCGUCGUCACCGCAGCUCCCGGCGCCGUCAUCACCGCUGGCCCCGGCACCGAAGUCUUCGUCACCGCAGCUCCCGGCGCCGUCGUCACCGGAGCACCCGGCACCACAGCCUUCAUCACUGCUGUCCCCGGCACCGCAGCCUUCGCCUUCUUAUACUGCUACCAAAGGGAUGGAUCCUGCAGUCUACGUCAUGAUGAAAGCCAUGCUGUCGGCGAACAAGGUGAAGUCCGAGCCGGACGGCAACACGACGGGGUCGUCGGCGUUGCGUGGGAAGAAGAGGAAAUUGGACGAAGCAUACGGUGACGACGGCCCGCCUUCUUAUAUGUUGCCAAACACUCAGCCUACUCCCCAUGACAGCUCCGACGGCCCGCCUGGGGGGUUCUCCCGGAGCCGGAAGAUGCGGCAUAUUCCCAGCGGACACGACGGCGACAGCAUGGACCGGGAAGCCGCACGGGAGAGGCUGCGGGGCGUCGUCCCUCCGCAGCUGGAGCGCGUGUUUGCGGCGACCGAGCCCUCCGACAUCGUCAAGUCUACAUACGUCGCUAUUCUUCAGGCAGCGAACCACGCGUCCUUCUCCUUUUCCUACGCGCUGGAGCUGGACACGGAGAACGCCGCACUGCGGACGCAGCUGCAGAAGACGGAGGCCAAGCUCACCGCGGCGGAGGCGAAGGUGCAGACGGUGAAGGCCGAGCUCGCCGUGCGGCAGCGCGCGCAGGACGCGAUGGAUGGCUACGAGCGCUGGCGAGGCGCAGACGCCGGGCGGAGGACGUGA
This 1386-nucleotide ribosomal RNA is filed under the name Triticum aestivum (bread wheat). Its description in RNAcentral is "partial small subunit ribosomal RNA". Lineage: Eukaryota; Viridiplantae; Streptophyta; Magnoliopsida; Poales; Poaceae. The record is from RNAcentral.